CCUACGGGGCGCAGCAGUGGGGAAUAUUGCGCAAUGGGGGCAACCCUGACGCAGCAACGCCGCGUGAUUGAAGAAGGCCUUCGGGUUGUAAAGAUCUUUAAACAGUGACGAAGAAAUGACGGUACCUGAAGAAUAAGCUCCGGCUAACUACGUGCCAGCAGCCGCGGUAAUACGUAGGAUGCGAGCGUUAUCCGGAUUUACUGGGUGUAAAGGGAGCGUAGACGGCAGAGCAAGUCUGAAGUGAAAGCCCGCGGCCCAACUGCGGGACUGCUUUGGAAACUGCCCGGCUAGAGUGCUGGAGAGGU
Molecule: ribosomal RNA, 305 nt
Filed under: uncultured bacterium
Lineage: Bacteria
Description: bacterial SSU rRNA
Rfam family: Bacterial small subunit ribosomal RNA
Source: RNAcentral